UACGGAGGGGGCUAGCGUUGUUCGGAAUUACUGGGCGUAAAGCGAACGUAGGCGGUGUUCCAUGUCAGAGGUGAAAGCCUGGGGCUCAACUCCAGAAUUGCCUUUGAAACGGGAACGCUUGAGUCCGAGAGAGGGUGGCGGAAUUCCUAGUGUAGAGGUGAAAUUCGUAGAUAUUAGGAAGAACACCAGUGGCGAAGGCGGCCACCUGGCUCGGUACUGACGCUGAGGCACGAAAGCGUGGGGAGCAAACAGG
This 253-nucleotide ribosomal RNA is filed under the name uncultured bacterium. RNAcentral describes it as "partial 16S ribosomal RNA". It matches the Rfam family "Bacterial small subunit ribosomal RNA", at positions 524 to 776 of the family's 1533-position model. The record is from RNAcentral.